Molecule: long non-coding RNA, 764 nt
Filed under: Homo sapiens (human)
Lineage: Eukaryota; Metazoa; Chordata; Mammalia; Primates; Hominidae
Description: HSALNT0365965
Source: RNAcentral
ACGUCAGGACCCCGCCACCCCACUCUGCCCCUCCACCCGAGGCUGCCUUAUCCUUUUGCUUUCUCUCUUAAAUCUGCUGCCCGUUACUGCUAUUCUACCCUUUGGUAGGUGUCAACAGAUGUUCACACUUUCCUUUCUUUCUGAUGGUGGUCAGGAAACCUAGCACUCCACCUAAGGCGAAGAAGCCGGGCGUUUGUCUGUUGUGAGUGAGUGACAAGGGCGGAGGAGGCGUGCCAGGCUGGCUGCAGUACCAUUCCCUGAGUCUGGCACUGCCUGAAGGGAGCCCUGCCGGUCACAUCAGACGUUCCUAAGGGGCCUGGAGUGAAAGGUGCUUGCAGGGAGCAAGUGAAAGUGGCGCCCCCACCCAGUCUGCCCAUUCCACCUCUCUUUAUACUGAUGAGAGAAGCCAAAGGGAGGCAACAAGGAAAAGAAGAGAAACUGGAAGCUGGGAUGAUUGACAGACUAGAAUGACAGGCUGCUGAAACUGAAUGAAACCCCAGAAGUUAUCAAUUCAUCCUUCACUUUUUGAGUUUUUAUUGAAGUUUGAAUGGGGAGGCACUGGCCUCGGAGCUCCUUGCUGCUGACAUCAGUUGUGCCCUUGUAGGAGACGUCCUGGUCCUGUCUGCCUCAGAGGCUUCCAUCUGCGGAUUUCCUGAGGUCGUCCCCUUACUCCUCUGCUGCAGUCUCUCUCAACAUUUCAACUGUCUGCUCCAGAAAGUUACUCUGUCACUAAGUAAAAUAAAUACAAACAAAAUAAGCAAUAA